AGCCGCGGUAAUACGUAGGGCGCAAGCGUUAUCCGGAAUUAUUGGGCGUAAAGAGCUCGUAGGCGGUUUGUCGCGUCUGCUGUGAAAGGCCAGGGCUCAACCCUGGUUCUGCAGUGGGUACGGGCAGACUUGAGUGAUGUAGGGGAGACUGGAAUUCCUGGUGUAGCGGUGAAAUGCGCAGAUAUCAGGAGGAACACCGAUGGCGAAGGCAGGUCUCUGGGCAUUAACUGACGCUGAGGAGCGAAAGCAUGGGGAGCGAACAGGAUUAGAUACCCUGGUAGUCCAUGCCGUAAACGUUGGGCACUAGGUGUGGGGGACAUUCCACGUUUUCCGCGCCGUAGCUAACGCAUUAAGUGCCCCGCCUGGGGAGUACGGCCGCAAGGCUAAAACUCAAAGGAAUUGACGGGGGCCCGCACAAGCGGCGGAGCAUGCGGAUUAAUUCGAUGCAACGCGAAGAACCUUACCAAGGCUUGACAUGGACCGGAUCGCAUCAGAGAUGGUGUUUCCCUUCGGGGCUGGUUCACAGGUGGUGCAUGGUUGUCGUCAGCUCGUGUCGUGAGAUGUUGGGUUAAGUCCCGCAACGAGCGCAACCCUCGUUCCAUGUUGCCAGCGCGUAAUGGCGGGGACUCAUGGGAGACUGCCGGGGUCAACUCGGAGGAAGGUGGGGACGACGUCAAAUCAUCAUGCCCCUUAUGUCUUGGGCUUCACGCAUGCUACAAUGGCCGGUACAAAGGGUUGCGAUACUGUGAGGUGGAGCUAAUCCCAAAAAGCCGGUCUCAGUUCGGAUUGGGGUCUGCAACUCGACCCCAUGAAGUUGGAGUCGCUAGUAAUCGCAGAUCAGCAACGCUGCGGUGAAUACGUUCCCGGGCCUUGUACACACCGCCCGU
This 887-nucleotide ribosomal RNA is filed under the name Arthrobacter woluwensis. RNAcentral describes it as "bacterial SSU rRNA". It matches the Rfam family "Bacterial small subunit ribosomal RNA", at positions 513 to 1397 of the family's 1533-position model. Lineage: Bacteria; Bacillati; Actinomycetota; Actinomycetes; Micrococcales; Micrococcaceae. The record is from RNAcentral.